Numida meleagris (helmeted guineafowl) is the source of this 1557-nucleotide long non-coding RNA. RefSeq lists it as uncharacterized. NCBI's taxonomy places the organism in Eukaryota, Metazoa, Chordata, Aves, Galliformes, Numididae. The record is from RefSeq and is a predicted model, not a curated record. The transcript is spliced from 7 exons.
UCCAACCUGGCCUUGGCACCUUCAGGGAUGGGGCACCCACAGCUCUCUGGGCAGCAGUGCCAGGGCCUCACCCCCCUCUGAGAUCAGGCCAUGAUUCAAGGAGCAAGGGUUCCAGCAACAAUCAGCAAGUGCUUGACUGCCCCAACUCACUGCACCUGUGCAAAGGCACAGUGGGGGCUUAUGCUAAAAUCUCAGUACUCCAGGGAGACUUCAAAGCCAUGGUGUCCCCCAUCUUGGGUCACUCCCUGUCCCCCUGAGCCCCCUGAGCACCUCAGUUUGUCCCUCAAAUACUCCCUCUGAAAGGAAGAUCCAGUGUAGGCCAGUCUACUAGAUCAAACUGGCAAUAGCUGUGGCUUCUACUCCAAUAACAACCAGCAGUUUAUUAGCGUGUUGGCUGCACAUUAUUGCUUCUACAGGAAGAGUUGCAGUUAGGGUAAUUGAAGGGUGAAACGAAAGGAUUUGUGGUUAGCAUUGCAGAACAGCACUGCAGACUGUAAAACUGCUGUUCUGCUUCCUGCAGCCAGAAUUUCCUUACUGGUAUCAGUGGGAGAGAGACCAGGCUUCUCAGUGCAUCGGUAAAGCCUAAAUAGCCGGUAUUCUGCCACUUCAGAAAAGCUGAGUGCCAUCAGCUAACGGCCAUGAAUAUUUCAGCGCAUGUCAUUAUUAUUUCACAACGGUCCGUGUAAACACUGGGAACAGAGGGAGCUCCUGAGUCGCUGCACCUAGGCCUGGGCUAUCUCAGGACAGCCUCCUCCCUGCUGGCUUCUGAGGUACUCUGCAGACCAUUCCCGCUGAGCCGGUGACAGAGGAAUGAGCUGUGCAGCACCCAGUCCAAAACCCUGCUCCAGCCAGAAGCUUCAGAUCUGCAGGAUGGUCUGUGAGCACCACAGAGGCAGCUGGAAGAACCUUCAAACCUCUGCUGGAGCAUUUGUAGCUUCUUGCGCUGUGAACCAAAGUCUGCAGCUCCACAGACAGAAAUGAAAGGAAACAAAGAAGAUGUGUGUGAGGCGCAGCAAAGUGAGCCAGAAGAAGGCAAGAGUGGGAGGAGUAUGCUAGUGGCUUUCCUCCCCCUUUAGGCACUGAAAGGCGACUCUCAGGUCUCCCUGGAGCCUUCAGUUCUCCAGAAUACAGUCUCGGGAGGUUUCAGGAGCUGAGACCUGCAGAAAAACAGCAGGUACUGUGAGCACUGAUAAAACCAAAGACGGGAGCAACACUACAUUAAAUAUGGGUUUGGAAUUUAAUUUUAAAACUCAUCUCAUUCCAUGUCCGCUGCCUUUAGCUAAUUUUCUUCCCAAGAUAACUCUGCUGUUGCUAAGCCUUCCAGGAGAGAAACUCAUGUUUCUAAGGGCCGUUACUGUUGACACAGCGGGACUCCAGCUGAAAACUAAUGCGAUGUGAAGGCUGGGUCUGCAGGACACCCUGGUGCAUGUCACUGUGCCCCUGGCAGCUCGGUCAGAGCACAUUUGACAGAGCUCAGUGCUGAGAAUAAGGGUUGCAAUUGUGCUGGUGAGGUGGGUGGUGGGAGAUGGGCUGUUCCUAUGGCAUGGGGGAGGGAUG